This is a non-coding RNA of Labrus bergylta (ballan wrasse), 129 nucleotides long. Lineage: Eukaryota; Metazoa; Chordata; Actinopteri; Labriformes; Labridae. The record is from RefSeq and is a predicted model, not a curated record.
UGAACAUCGUCCUCACACUCUGCAUGGUGUUUCUUUGGAAACAAAGAGAGAGCAUGAAGCCAAAAGAAGAGGACAGCACUUACAUGGCAUUGGAUCACACUAACAGAUCUCCAGACUAUGAUGUCAUUG